RNAcentral lists this long non-coding RNA (5612 nucleotides) under Pan troglodytes (chimpanzee). RNAcentral's name for it is "long non-coding RNA NONPTRT001207". Lineage: Eukaryota; Metazoa; Chordata; Mammalia; Primates; Hominidae. The record is from RNAcentral.
GCGUCUCAAAAAAAAAAAAAAAAUCCCCAACUCACUGCUUUUUUUGUUUGUUUCUGUCGCCUAGGCUGGAGUGCAGUGGCACGAUCUCAGCUCACCACAGCCUCGACCUCCCAGGCUCAAGUGAUCCUCCCACCUCAGCCUACCAAGUGGCUGGGACUACAGGCGUGUGCCACCAUGCCUGGGUAAUUUUUGUAUUUUUGUAGAGAUAGGGUUUUGCUAUGUUGCCCAGGCUGGUCUCAAACUCCUGGGCUCAAGUGAUCUGCCUGCCUCAACCUCUCAAAGUGCUCAACUCAUUGUUUACUGUCUUUUUUCCUAGUAAUCUUAAAAUAAUUUGCCUCACAGAAAUAGAGACAGUAAGUGUCUGCAGCCAGUUCACUGUUUUUGGUAAUUCAUUGGUCUUCAGGAGUUAAGAUUUUACAUUGUCACAUUUUAAUUUUUAAGCCUAUUUUUCAUCUCUGAAACUUUCCUUUUCUGCUUGGUUCUGGCUAUACUUGGACUCAAACUGAUCAGUGUGAUCAUGUCCAAAACAGCUUGGCCUGGAAGAGGUAGGCCUUAUUUUUUCAGCCUAGUAGUGUCCCAUGCACAUGCUCUUUGUAGCAUUCAAGUGUUUAACAUUGGAUAAAUUAAGAAGGUCAAGAAUGUUGUUGAAACUUCAAGGUCUCAAAAGGAAAUGAUGGGGACAUAGAACAACUGUUGGUGUACCAAAAAAAGGUACAGAGGGGCACCGUUUGUAUUGUCACACAACAAUGAUCAGAAUGAUCAGUUUAGAAUGAUCAGAACAAAAACACCACUCUUUAAUGGGUCUUUUUCUUGGCUAGAAGUCUUUCCUCAGUUUUUGUUGACUGUCAUACGCUGAUUUGUGGGUGACGGAAGGGGGCUAGAGAUAAUGUUUCUCUGUACUUUGGUAGAGGAUGAAGGAGUCAGAGAGGGAACAGAAAAAGUGAGAGAGUGGCCUGCUGAAAUAAUAGCCUGCCUCUAAAAGUUGUGACCAGAAAGUAUGAUUCAUUUGGGCCCAGAGGGAAUAAAAUAUGUUUUUUCAUAUACCUCCCAUAUUACACCUCUGUAGUGAUUGUUUAUUUGGGGAAUGAGAUCUACUUACUGUGCGUUGCCCCUGAAAUGUAGCUUGAGAAUACACACUGGUUUUGAAUUGGGGAGGAGGAUGGAAGGAAAUUAGAGGUGUAUUAUGAAUAUUUGGCCACUACUUAGAUGGAGGAAGGCUAUGUUGAACUUGGGACACAUUGCAGUUUUCAAGUACACAAUAUCAGUUGUCUCAGAAAAAUCAUGACAGCCUGGACAUAUUUGCUUGUCAGUGUCUGGAGAUGCCAGGACAGGCAGUUGUAGUUUUACGUACAGAUAGAGAACCAAUGCCUAGAGAACUAGAAAGGAUCUGAGUAGCUUUAAAAAGGGUGGAAACAAAGUACUGGAUAGGGGUCUGCCUUUUUAUACACAGUAUAGCAAACAGCAUCAGACAAAGUUACAUGAAGUUUUCUUCACUUUUUUUGCUCUGAUGGAUAGAGGAUGUGAGACUCAUUUUACUGUUUCCCAGACCUGUCCCACUUAAUGGAUCUGUUGUGUUUCUUCUUAAAAUGGCAGGCACCUCAGAUGUUCAGGUUAAUUUAUGUUGAGGAGUUAGGAUUCUUCAGGGAUUUAUUAUUAUUAUUAUUAUUUAUUUAUUUAUUUAUUUAUUUUUUGAGAUGGAGGCUUGCUCUGUCGCCUAGGCUGGAGUGCAGUGGCGCAAUCUCAGCUCACUGCAACCUCCACCUCCUGGGUUCCAGCGAUUCUUCUGCCUUAGCCUCCCAAGCAGCUGGGAUUACAGGCACCUGCCACCAUGCCCAGCUAAUUUUUUAUAUGUUUAGUAGAGACAAGGUUUUACCUUGUUGGCCAGGCUGGUCUUGAACUCUAGACCUCAGGUGAUCUGCCAGUCGUGGCCUCCCAAAGUGCUGGGAUUACAGACGGGAGCCACCAUGCCCAGCCUGAGAUUUAUUAUAAGGAAUUGGUUCACACAAUAAUGGAGUUUGAGAAAUCCCAAGAUCUGCAGUGGGCCAGCUAGAGAUCCAGGAGAGCUGAUGGUGUAGUUCCAGUCUGAAGGCCAGCUUGGAUACCCUAGAAGAGCUGAUGUUUCUGUUCCAGUUCAGAGGCAGGAAAAGACUGAGGUCUUAGUUCAAGCAGUCAGGCAGGACUUCUCCCUUACUUGUUCUAUUCAGACCUUCAACUGAUUGGAUGAGGGCCACUUACAUUAGGGAGGGCCAUGUGCUGUAUUCAGUCUACUGACUGAAAUGUUAGUCUCUUCCAAAAACACCCUCACAGACACACCCAGAAUACUGUAUGACCAAAUAUCUGGGCAUCAUGUGGCCUAGUCAAGUUGACACAUAAGAUUAACCAUCACAACGAGGAAAAACAGAAAUGAUACAUGUAUACAGAGUGCUCCUCAUCCCAAUUAAGUUUCACCAAGUUAAUAAUGUCUCUCUAUGAGAAGUGGUUCACCAUGUUGGUCAGGCUGGUUUCAAACUCCUGACCUCAGGUGACCACCCGCCUCGGCCUCCCAAAGUGCUGGGAUUACAGAUGUGAGCUAGCACUCCCAGCCGACAGGUGCUUCUUAAAUGUUUUCUUUGAGCAGGAAUUGGUUCUCAAGUUAGAAGGAAAAUUUGAGGGGAAGAACUUGUUUUUUCUCCAAUCAGUCUCUGAUUAAAUAGUUAUUAGGAAAAACUCCUUGCUUAUGUCUUUGUAUUGCACAUUUUUAUAUAUGUAUAUAUGUGUAAAUAGAGAUAUUUAUAUAUUCACAGACAAACACGUGUAUGCACAUUUCACAAUGGAGGAAGAAGGGAUAUGGUGUGCACUGAGGUAAAGUGAGCAGGGAUACAGAAGAGAGCUGGAGCCUCACAGUCUGAUUCUCUCAUUGUACAUAACCUUUAGGGUCUUUGUUUCCCUGAGUUCUCUGGUAUGGGGCACUGUUGGCUUGGGCUAGUACCCUGUUAUUCUCUGUGAUGAAGGGAUUCACUGGAGGUAAAAACCUAAUCAUUUCCAAAGGUUGAGAAUAAAUGACUUUGAGGAAAGGGUGUUCAUUAUCCGUUGCUUCUAUAUUAUAAUCAGUUGAACUACAAUACGGUUAUCUAUUGAUUUUUUUAAAUUUUUCUGACAAAUUAUUGACACUAAAUUGAAUAAUUCAUGACCUGCAUGCUUCAGCUUCUUUCUCCCUGGUUUCCAGGUGCUAUUCCCUCAAGAAAUGCAAAUUAAAUAUGUCGGUCUUAAUAAAUCAGGAGGGAAGCAUAGUCUGUGUCUGUUUUAAAUGACAACAACAACAAAACAGCUUUGGGGUUUAAGAAGUGGAAGACACAUUUUUAUUUUUUUGAGACACAAUCUCACUCUUUCGCCCAGGCUGGAGUGCAGUGGCGUGAUCUCAGGUCACUGCAACCUCCCCCUCCUGGGUUCAAGCGAUUCUCUUGCCUCAGCCUCCCAAGUAGCUGGGAUUACAGGCAUGUGCCACCAUGCCCAGCUAAUUUUUGUAUUUUUAGUAGAGAUGGGGUUUUGCCAUGUUGCCCAGGCUGGUCUCGAACUCCUGACGUCAAGUGAUCACCGACCUCGGCAUCCCAAAGUGCUGGGAUUACAGGCAUUAGCCACCACGCCCAGGUGAGAAGACAGAUUUUAAGAGAAGGAGCAGGGCUGGUAUCUGAAUAGGUAUUUGGAUGUUAGGGGAAAACCCUUUUUGGCCUCUGUGGUAGAGCGAUCGGAAGGUAAAAGUGCUGUUUACAAGAAUAAUCCAUUGGAGAUCUGGGGAUUGGGGACGACUUAUAGGAUAGAGUGCUCUUGUUGAGAAUUUCCCGAAUGAAUCUCAUGUAGGUUCUGUCACAGUAAGAUGGAGGAAAACUUUGAUGGGGUAAGUAUCACAAGUGGCUGUCCUAUAGGGGGAAAUCCUAGCCUGCAGUAAUGUCAGUGUCUCAGUAUUCAGCCGGCGAGCCACUGAGCUGCUCCAGGGGUUUAAAAUAGAAUGCAUAGAAUACAAUGUGUACAGCUGGUGAUGCUUUCCAGGAUCAAAAUAGAGCCCUUGUCUGAUCCCAUUGACAUUGUAAGGUUUCGAUCUCUCAUACCUGCCACAGACAAGUACAUUGUAGGCAUUCAACUUUUAAGGUUUUAUACAUGCAAACUUUAUGUUUUCCUGCCACACUACACUUGGUGUCCACAGAAGUGUAGUUUGUAUGUUGCCUCUUCUUCCUCUUUCAACCAGAACACUUAGAUCUGUGAUCAUAGGAUGUAAGCCUGUGAUUCUUUACUUUUUCUAAUAAGAAAUACAAUUUUCAAGAUCCAAAAAUUAUUAGAUUCUUGGCUGGGCAUUGUGGCUCAUGCCUGUAAUCUCAGCAUUUUGGAAGGCUGAGGCAGGCAGAUCACUUGAGGUCAGGAGUUUGAGACCAGCCUGGGCAGCACAAUAAAACGCCAUGUCUACUAAAAAUACAAAAAUUAGCCAGGUGUGGUGGCAUGCACCUGUAGUCCCAGCUACUUGGGAGGCUGAGGAGGGAGAAUCGUUUGAACCAAGGAGGCAGAGGUUGUAGUGAGCCAAGAUUGUGCCACUGCACUCCAGGGCAACAGAGAGAGACCCUGUCUCAAAACAAAAACCCCCAAAUUAUUAGAUUCCCUUCCAACAACUUGAUAGCCAUAUUAUUAGUAUUUCUGAUUAAAGAAUACAUAACAAAAAGCCGCUAUGAUUUCAGUAAUGCUUUUAAGUUAAUUUAUUAGUCACACCAGAAUCUACAUCCAAUUGAAAUAUAGUAUAUACAAAUAUUUGAAAGAUAUUUAUUCAGGCUGAAGAUUAUGGUAUAUAGAUUCCUUCUGAUAACCUCAUGGCCUCACAGGUUCAAAACCCAUGUUUGUGAAUCACUCAUACAGAUUGGGGCUAAGAUGCAUGUCCAGAAAACUACCUAUUAUGCAUGAAAAUUUGUAGGCUUAUUUGAAGGCAAUUGUAUCAACACAUUUUGAAAGCCAAGACACAAGUAUUUUAAGUUUCUGUUUAACCAAGUCUCGAGAUAAGCAGAGUAAAUAAACUCUUUAGAAGCAAGACUCAGUUGGUAUGUACAAAGUGGGAUUGCUUUGUAUAUAUUCCUCUUAGUUUGAGUCAGAGUUAGUAAUCUGAUGCUCUUAAAUGUCUUCAUAAACUUGGGCAGUGAUGUUUCCUUUCUGUGAUUAUGUGUCACAGAUUUUUAUAUGUGGACUAUAAUUAGUACAAUGGCUGAAACCUUUCCUAUAGUUGGAUAUAUCUUCUGAGACUUCCAGUGAUUGUAUAAUGUUGAGUAGCUCCAGAAGAUUAUUUGAAUAGUAAAAACAAAAGACAUCUCUACCUAUGUGAGUUUAUUAUUUAGUUAGAAACACAGAACUAACUAUUUAAAACAGAGAAAGAUUAAGAUGAAUGUGAUGUAGUGGAGAAAGCUUUGGAGACUUUGGAGUCAGAAUUCAAAUGGCUCUAGGUCCCAAAUCCAGACUCUCAUUUUGAUUCUCAGAACAAUUCUGUGGAAAGAGAAGAUACAAUAGGCAAUAUCCCUUUUUACAGAUAGGUUAACAGAAAUAGCAUCUCAAAACCUCAUUUGCACUGGGUGAGCCACCGCACCAGGCCCUAUUUAACUUCC